GAUGAACGCUGGCGGCGUGCCUAAUACAUGCAAGUCGAGCGAACGGACGAGAAGCUUGCUUUUCUGAUGUUAGCGGCGGACGGGUGAGUAACACGUGGAUAACCUACCUAUAAGACUGGGAUAACUUCGGGAAACCGGAGCUAAUACCGGAUAAUAUUUUGAACCGCAUGGUUCAAAAGUGAAAGACGGUCCUGCUGUCACUUAUAGAUGGAUCCGCGCUGCAUUAGCUAGUUGGUAAGGUAACGGCUUACCAGGGCAACGAUGCAUAGCCGACCUGAGAGGGUGAUCGGCCACACUGGAACUGAGACACGGUCCAGACUCCUACGGGAGGCAGCAGUAGGGAAUCUUCCGCAAUGGGCGAAAGCCUGACGGAGCAACGCCGCGUGAGUGAUGAAGGUCUUCGGAUCGUAAAACUCUGUUAUUAGGGAAGAACAUAUGUGUAAGUAACUGUGCACAUCUUGACGGUACCUAAUCAGAAAGCCACGGCUAACUACGUG
Molecule: ribosomal RNA, 497 nt
Filed under: uncultured bacterium
Lineage: Bacteria
Description: partial 16S ribosomal RNA
Rfam family: Bacterial small subunit ribosomal RNA
Source: RNAcentral